RNAcentral lists this ribosomal RNA (468 nucleotides) under uncultured bacterium. Its description in RNAcentral is "partial 16S ribosomal RNA". It matches the Rfam family "Bacterial small subunit ribosomal RNA", at positions 28 to 507 of the family's 1533-position model. The record is from RNAcentral.
GACGAACGCUGGCGGCGUGCUUAACACAUGCAAGUCGAACGGAAAGGCCCUGCUUUUGUGGGGUGCUCGAGUGGCGAACGGGUGAGUAACACGUGAGUAACCUGCCCUUGACUUUGGGAUAACUUCAGGAAACUGGGGCUAAUACCGGAUAGGAGCUCCUGCUGCAUGGUGGGGGUUGGAAAGUUUCGGCGGUUGGGGAUGGACUCGCGGCUUAUCAGCUUGUUGGUGGGGUAGUGGCUUACCAAGGCUUUGACGGGUAGCCGGCCUGAGAAGGUGACCGGCCACAUUGGGACUGGGAUACGGCCCAGACUCCUACGGGAGGCAACAGUGGGGAAUAUUGCACAAUGGGCGGAAGCCUGAUGCAGCAACGCCGCGUGCGGGAUGACGGCCUUCGGGUUGUAAACCGCUUUCGCCUGUGACGAAGCGUGAGUGACGGUAAUGGGUAAAGAAGCACCGGCUAACUACGUG